This 73-nucleotide transfer RNA is filed under the name Marmota marmota marmota (Alpine marmot). It matches the Rfam family "tRNA". Rfam says of the family: Transfer RNA (tRNA) molecules are approximately 80 nucleotides in length. Their secondary structure includes four short double-helical elements and three loops (D, anti-codon, and T loops). The record is from Rfam by way of RNAcentral. RNAcentral also lists the same sequence under 1 other name. Lineage: Eukaryota; Metazoa; Chordata; Mammalia; Rodentia; Sciuridae.
GGGGAUAUAGCUCAGUGGAAGAGCACUUGCCUAGCAUGCACAAAGCCCCGGGGUUCCAUCUCCAGUACCCCCA